RNAcentral lists this non-coding RNA (28 nucleotides) under Cricetulus griseus (Chinese hamster). Lineage: Eukaryota; Metazoa; Chordata; Mammalia; Rodentia; Cricetidae. The record is from RNAcentral.
UGAGAGUAGUGGACAGAAGGGAUUUCUG